This is a non-coding RNA of Camellia sinensis, 1068 nucleotides long. The record is from RefSeq and is a predicted model, not a curated record. Lineage: Eukaryota; Viridiplantae; Streptophyta; Magnoliopsida; Ericales; Theaceae.
AGCUUUUUGCUUUCAAACAUUGCAAGGGAAGGAAGGUUAAGCUUGCUCUUUGUGAAGGUGAGUUUUUGGUGUAGGCUAUGGAUAAAAAAUGAUUGCUGAUAUUUGGUACUUUCAUGUUAUGUUAAUUGAUUGGAUCUUAAUUAUUAUACACCAAGAUAACUUGGUAGCGGAAGUAAUAAAGUACUAUUGAAGUAAAUGAAUAUUGUGCUCGUCUUUUUCAAUAGUUUGCAUUGUACCUUGUUUGGAGUAGUGAGAGCUAAAGAAUCAUGACUUUGUAUGUGCUGAUUGUUAGUUGAUAUUGAUAUUUGUGUUUAGAUUUUGUUCACAAAUAGAAAUCAAAGUUCUGUUCACAAUGAAACAAAUGUUUUCAUAUGAUGUGUAGGUCUACGAUUUGCUUUCACUUUGAAUCAGGGCAGAGGUUUUGCUGGUUACAGUUAUUGUCAUGACUUAAUGUUCAUGCAUUAUUUUCAGUGGAUUUUGUGGUUUAAUGAUAGAAGUGAUGAGCAUAGUAUUUCCGGUUUUUUCACAACUAAAUUAACAGUUGAGUUGUUUCAAUUAUGCUACGGCGUUCAAAUUUUAUUUUAAACAUCGUGGUAGGAUAGUUAAUCACAGGUUUUUGCACAACCUUUGCUCAAUAAUCUGCAUCACUUGGUUAGGUAGAGUACUCUUGACGAACUUUUGAAGAUUUGGAUUUCUUUAAAACAUAAAUGUCUUCGAUCAGUUUUUUUCCUGUCAACAGUUUACAUCUCUAUUGGAAUAAUCCCAUAACUGUAUGCAUUUCCCAGUGUGUGUGUGUGUGUUUGAUGCAUGGAUCGUAUUGGUGGAGUAGAAAGUCAAUGAUUAAUUUAGCUUUGGAUCUUGUGAUGGUUUCAUAACCCGUGGCAUGUCAUAUCAUAUUGAAAACUGUUGCAGCCUGUUGGGUUGAGUCCUUUAUUCUACAAUGUAACUAGCAUAGAGUUGCUGGUCUACUUCUUGGACUGUUGAAUAGCCUUAGGCCUGAGAAACUACCCAUUUUACUGUCCUUUCAUUGUUUUCAUGUUUGCCUUGCUUGUAUCUAGUUGUUGGCAA